AAGAGGAAGGCCAACGAGGAGGUACAGUAUAUGGAUGUAAUUAAUGUGGAUAUGAAGCUAGUGGGUGCAAGUGUUGAGGAUGCAGAAGAUAGGGAUAGGUGGAGAGAGAUGAUUCGCUGUGCGACCCCUGAAAGGAAAAACCGAAAGAAGAAGAAGAAUUAUUCACAAACGAGCUGAAUAAGUGGGUGGACUCUCUGAUGCGGACUCCACUGUACGUUCACUCCCACUGCUGGAGCUGCAGGACAUCAUGACCAGCGUCUCGGGUCGUAUCCCUGUCACGGUGGAGAAAGUCAUCCGCAAGAUUAUGGCCCAGUACGCCAGCAACAUCACCUCUGUUCUCUGUCAGUUCCCCAGCCAGAGGACGGACGUUUGUUUUGCUUUAGAUUGCGAAUAUCCUGGACAGUCACGCAGCCAUGCUACAGAAGAAAGCAGACCGUGAGGUUUUCUUCAUGAACACUCAGAGCAUGGUGCAGCUCGUGCAGAGAAACUCAUCCUGUCUGA
Molecule: long non-coding RNA, 501 nt
Organism: Tachysurus fulvidraco (yellow catfish)
Lineage: Eukaryota; Metazoa; Chordata; Actinopteri; Siluriformes; Bagridae
Exons: 4
Source: RefSeq, a predicted model, not a curated record